RNAcentral lists this ribosomal RNA (473 nucleotides) under uncultured bacterium. RNAcentral describes it as "bacterial SSU rRNA". It matches the Rfam family "Bacterial small subunit ribosomal RNA", at positions 1 to 468 of the family's 1533-position model. The record is from RNAcentral.
UUAGAGUUUGAUCCAUGGCUCAGAGCGAACGCUGGCGGCGUGCCUAACACAUGCAAGUCGAACGCUGAGCCCGUUGUAGCAAUACAGCGGAGGAGGCGUGGCGAACGGGUGCGUAACGCGUGGACAACCUGCCCGCGAGUGGGGGAUAACCCCGGGAAACUGGGGCUAAUACCGCAUAACAUUUCCUUGACGUCGGUCGAGGAAAGCAAAGCUCGCAAGGGCGCUGGCGGAGGGGUCCGCGUCUGAUCAGCUAGUUGGUGAGGUAACGGCUCACCAAGGCGACGACCGGUGGCCGGUCUGAGAGGACGAUCGGCCACACUGGGACUGAGACACGGCCCAGACUCCUACGGGAGGCAGCAGUGGGGAAUAUUGCGCAAUGGGGGAAACCCUGACGCAGCGACGCCACGUGGAGGACGAAGCCCUUCGGGGUGUAAACUCCUUUCGNCGGGGACGAAACGCCCGAGCGAUCGGGC